AUUGAACGCUGGCGGCAUGCCUUACACAUGCAAGUCGAACGGCAGCACGGGAGCUUGCUCCUGGUGGCGAGUGGCGAACGGGUGAGUAAUACAUCGGAACGUACCCUGAAGUGGGGGAUAACGUAGCGAAAGUUACGCUAAUACCGCAUAUUCUGUGAGCAGGAAAGCAGGGGAUCGCAAGACCUUGCGCUGAUUGAGCGGCCGAUGUCAGAUUAGCUAGUUGGUGAGGUAAAGGCUCACCAAGGCGACGAUCUGUAGCGGGUCUGAGAGGAUGAUCCGCCACACUGGAACUGAGACACGGUCCAGACUCCUACGGGAGGCAGCAGUGGGGAAUUUUGGACAAUGGGGGCAACCCUGAUCCAGCCAUGCCGCGUGAGUGAAGAAGGCCUUCGGGUUGUAAAGG
Molecule: ribosomal RNA, 403 nt
Filed under: uncultured bacterium
Lineage: Bacteria
Description: bacterial SSU rRNA
Rfam family: Bacterial small subunit ribosomal RNA
Source: RNAcentral